Molecule: long non-coding RNA, 9373 nt
Filed under: Musa acuminata (dwarf banana)
Lineage: Eukaryota; Viridiplantae; Streptophyta; Magnoliopsida; Zingiberales; Musaceae
Description: long non-coding RNA (MACU_LNC001080)
Source: RNAcentral
UGUAGCUCCGGAACGCAGACCUCAGGGCUCCGUAGGCCGACGCCGGGAGGCGAGUGAUGGUAGUGCCGGAGUCGAUGAUCGUGCCACGGGACGAGAAAACCGAUGGCGAAAUGGCCAGUUGCUGCCCACCGACGCUGAUUCCGAUCAGGUCAACGAAGUAAAAGCUUGGAUGAUUGGAGCUGGUCUGCAUUCGAGUGUAAACGGUGUUGGAGGCAUCACCAGGUUCGCCCAGUUUCAGGAACCCGGUGGAGCUGGGAGUCGAAGGAAGGCAGUAGGAGAAGACCGAGUGGUAAACUUGCGACGUUUGGGACACCAGAGAGCGCUUGCCGCGGCCGAGACCCACGAGCCCUGCGGUGUCUUGGAACAGCCCUUCGUUGUCGGUGCCGCACCCGAAGAGGAAGUCCUCGAUCACGUCGUUUGGCGACAGCGUCAGUCUGUCGUAGCUGUAGACUCCUGAAGUGGUCGACCCAUCGCCGUAGGUGAUGCCAUAAGCGCAAGAGCUGGAGCAGCUGCUUCGGAGCUGACUGCAGUCCUGCGAGUUGCAAGGGAUCGCGGUGUAGGAGGAUGAUUGGGAUGGGUCAAAGAUCGGCUCCUGCUGCGAGUAGCACGCGGAGCAUGGUUUGCAUUGGAUCCAACUCAGGUCGCUCCCGGUGUCCAUCGUCACAGUCUGCUCUCGGCUGGGGGUGCCAUAGCCGACUGUGAUCACGUACUCCCCUCCUCCGUACUCCGCGGGGAUGCUUGCCUUGGAAUCAUCGACCUGUGGCUUGGCGGAAGACUUCAAGGCACUUCGCCGGAGAUAGUUGACUCUAAGUUGGUCUUUCAGAAGAAUCUCUUCUAGCGAUAGCAGUUUCUUGUCGUCGAAGGGGGAGCAGGGUCCAUGCCGAUGCACCAACGGGAAGGCGGUGAAGUUAGAUCCUGAGAAAGGCGAAACUAUCUUUUAAGGAAACUGUAUCAAAUGGUUUCAGCAAUUCAUGGGUAGCGGAGUAUGAGAUCUGCAGCCCAAAGAAAAGAUUGAUGCAAGAGAGCAACUGAGGUAUGACUGACCCUUGGACGAGGAGCAGACAACUUCGGGACUAGAAUUAUGAUUUCGAACCACGUGGUAGCUCUGAGCGUCUUCUCCGUUAGCAAGGGAAGAACAGUGACUCAGGAACAGAACAGAAGAGCAGAUUAAGAGAGCAGCCGAAGCCAUUUGCUGGGAAGAGACAAGCCCUGGGCGAAGGAUUGCAAUGGCAAUGCAUCCAAUUUAUAGAGACUUCAAAACCACUUUCUUUGUUCCACCAGAUUGGCCUCUGAUUUGAGUCAAGUAUGUCGACUAGUCGUUGACUUCAUAUUGACUGGCAUCGUCAAGUUCUUCCACACAAUCACGGAGCAAUUUAGGCUUAGUUUCGCAUUCCCACUGCAAAAUCCACGAAAUAAUUUGGUUUACGUCACAACGAUGAGAUCUAAAGGAAGACUUCGAACAGUUCAAAGUCGAAUAAUUAGAGCCACAACUCGAGUGCAAGACCGGAGAGAAGACUUUCAACAGUUCAACAUCUUGGUGUGAUUUCUUCACCGACCAAUCCUGACCGGCUCAUAAAUCGUCAACUAAUAACAACAACAACUAAAUGCUUCCUUAUGGCUGUUCUACGAGUCACCCAGGCGAGUGGAUCGGGAGCUAUUCGAGAGGGAAUUACACGGUAUACUUCCAUGUCCGCACGAACCAAAGUGCGCAAGAACAUGGACUCGUACUUCUGAAACCUGCAAUGAUAGAUCGAUAGCUCCGAUACUGUAUGUGAUGAACGGAUUGCACUAUGAGAAUAACUUCAGCUGGUCUGGUGUUGAAUCAAUGGUUGACAGCAGCAGAGGCUAAUCAAAAGAAGAAGACGAAGAGGAGGUACAGGCAGGGUAGGUGGCCGUGAAAGAGACACACUCCCAAAUGAUUGCGAAGGACAAGCUACUCCAAGUGACAUUAAAGAACUCGGCAACCAUGGCGUUUUCCAAUUAAUCAUGGACCAAUUUAGCUUUAUUUGGAGAGUAAAAUAGGAUGGAAAGUUAUCAGACUUGUAGAUCUUUAUGCAGACUAGAUGAGUUUAUUAUUAGUAACAUAUAUUUUCUACUCAUAUUAAGAUCUAUCAAAGUUGCAGAUGAUGUGAUUUAUAAGGAAAACAAUAUCACAACAGUUAUCCCUUUUAUUAAAAUUAUCACAAGUACAAGUUUGAAUUAUGAAUUAGACAUGAAUUUGCUAUUAGAUUUAAGCUUCCCAUACAUUUUCUGUUAUUUUUUUUUUAUCAAAUAUACUUUUCCUAUGAUUAAGAAUAAUCUACAGUAAAUUAAAUUAAAUGUGCCUCGAACAUCUAAUUAUAGAAUUAUAGCACGUCAGUCACAUCCCCUAGCUUUUCUCCAUCGUCUUCCUCCUUUCGAUGUGAUGACUAAAUAGGCAAUCGUUCAUUACACAAUAAAUUGUGGGUUGGAUUCGUCGUGGAAGGACCCUCGUGAUUUUUUAUUAUAUACGAAGAAAAAUACUGUUAGAUUAAUUAAUCUGAGCUCUAACUUAUACUUCCAAAACAUAAUUCCAAACACAUAAUUAACGAAGAAAAGAGACACACGUACAGAAGAAAAGGGAGGUGGAUGCUGAAAUAGAACGAUAGACAAUUCUGGUGAAGGUAAUAGAGGUUGACUGCCAGCUGCAGGUGCAUGCUAUAUAUCCUUAUUCCUCAUGCUAUUGAUUUAUUUAUAUUUAUAUAUAUGCAUGAGGUGAUACUGAUCAGCUGCAAGCGUGCGGCGCGAAUCCAAUUCUCUCAUUUCCUACAUCGUAGACUACUUCAAAUGUUCGCUGCUGCACAUUGCCAAUGAUCCCCAAGCGAUCAACUUGCUUACCAGAAAAUGCCAAGCAGUCAUGCCUGAGGAUCCCAGAUACGUUGAGAUCCAGUGUGACUCCAUCGAAGUGCAGCGCUACUUUGGGGACUGUUAUGGUCUUGUAGCCACUGAAGUCAUAACAGGUAUCAAGCAGUCCGUUAGUAGGCUUAAGAGGGUACGCCGACAUGUGCUCCCGGAACGCCGACCUCAGGGCCUCGUAGGCCGACGGCGGGAGGCGAGUGAUCGUAGUGCCGGAGUCCAAUAUCGUGCCACCGGACCUAAAAACCGAUGGCGAAAUGGCGAGCUGCUCCCCGGCCACGCUGAUUCCGAUCAGGUCAACGAAGUAAAAGCUUGGAUACUUGGAGCUGGUCUGCAUUCGAGUGUAAACGGUGUUGGAGGCGUCACUAGGUUCGCCCAGUUUUAGGAACCCCAUGUUGCUGGAAGUCGAAGGAAGGCAGUAGGAGAAGACCGAGUGGUAAAGUUGCGACGUCUGAGACACAAGCGACUGCUUGCCACGGCCGAGACCCACGAGCCCUGCGGCGUCGUGGAACAGCCCUUCGUUGUCGGUGCCGCACCCGAAGAGGAAGUGCUCGAUCACGUCGUUUGGCGACAGCGUCAGUCUGUCGUAGCUGUAGACUCCUGAACUGUUCGACCCAUCGCCGUAGGGGAUGAAAUAAGCGCAAGAGCUGGAGCAGCUGCCUCGGGGCUGACUGCAUUCCGACGAGUUGCAAGGGAUCGCGGCGUAGGAGGAUGAUUGGGAUGGGUCAAAGAUCGGCUCCUGCUGCGAGUAGCAUUUGUUGCAUGGUUUGCAUUGGAUCCAACUCAGGUCGCUCCCGGUGUCCAUCGUCACAGUCUGCUCUCGGCUGGGGGUGCCAUAGCCGACGGUGAUCACGUACUCCCCUCCUCCGAACUCCGCGGGGAUGCUUGCCAAGGAAUCAUUGAGCUGUGACUUCACGACACCCUUUAGGAGAUAAUUUACUCGAAGUUGGUCUUUAAGAAGGAUUUGUUCAGGUGAUGGCAGUUCCUUUGUCUCGAAGGGGGAGCAGGGUCCAUAUCGACUGACCAACCGUAUAGAGGUAACGUUGGAUCCUGAGAACCAUGCAUGCAUGCAUGGAAGUAUAUAUCACCACCAAUAGUCAGUAUUAAUUUUUUGUCUUUUAAGUAAUUUUACGUCAAACAAGUGCAGCAAUUUAUAAGUACAACUUCCAUCUGCUUGCUCGGUAACAUCGUGCUUCCAAUUUACAGCUUAAAGAGAUAGAGAAGGAAGUCUUAGUUAAAACUACAGAUGAUACUUUAUAACAGCAGCGCAAAUAAAACACCAAAAGUAAGAGGCAGCCGAUGUAUGAUUAACCUUUGAGCGGGGAGCAGACUGCUCCGGGAUUCAAAGAACGUCUUUGAACCUUAUGGUAGCUCUGUACUUCUCCAUUGGCAAGGUGAGAACGGUAGCUUAGGAGCAGAAACAGAACACAAGAGCUGGUUAGGAGGGCAGCUGAAGCCAUUAGUUAGCUGGGGAGAUACAAGUCUUGUGCGUAGGAGCUCUGGCUAUGCAUCCAAUUUAUAGAGAACCUUCAAUGCUACCUUCUCUCCUUGAAUCUUCAAAGCGAUGCUUUUGGUUUGGCCUCUGAUUACCACAUGCGAAAUUGAUUUAGAAGGCUGUGGACUAGUCGUUGACGUAGGACCCACUGGCUUAGUCAAGGUCAGAUUGUCCGAUCUUCGCGGAGUCACAUAAAUUUUAUCUCGUAUCCCCGUCGACGUGUGGAAGAUCCAUGGAAAUGAUAAGAUCUCCAGUCAGCUACCAGUCCGAAGCGAUGACUUGCAACGAUCCAAGGUCUUCACGUGGUGAUUUCUUCGGUUACCAGGUCCGAUGUAUCUGCCAGUAAUUAAUUCGUGGACUCAUGGCAUCCGACUGGAGUUAAUUGACAGCAAUCAUAUGGCAUGAUUCGACGUCCACAGGAUCAUUUUCCACUGUGGCUCAUGCGGAACCAGAUUGCAAAGAACAUGUCAUACCUCAGAGCUACUUCGGUCCUCCAACUACUAUGAGAAGAACUUUAGCUGGUUCACUGAUAUGAUAAGUUCUAGGCGCUGAAACAGUUGUGGGCUUAAGGAACCGACACAGGCGAUGUGAUAUUGCUGCACUUCUCUUGUUGGCCAUGUCGGAGGGUAAGGAAAAGAAGAAGAUGAGGAGGAGGAGGAGGAGGAGGAAGCAGGGUAAGACAGGGACGGCGAGGUGGCGAUUUACGAGACAGUCAAGAACUGGAUGAUUGCACCGGACAAAGUACGUCUAUAUCAUAACAGCUAAGAAACAAUGACAUGCGUUCUCGGAUUAAUUAUGGACCAUAUUAUUGAGCAAUAUCUUCUUUUGUUUCGUUUAUCAUCUUUUGCGCUUGACUAUAUCUGUGCAUUACUGAUAGCAAAUGGCCGAAAGCUGCCUGUAUUUAUAUUUCUUUCUUUUUUCGCGUUAGAUAAGGCUCAGGUACAGAAGCUAUGAAGACAAAGGGAAGGAAAAGACUGGUCACAACAAUUCGGUAAUGUAAUGUUUUUGAUAAGAAUACAAGCGAAUAGAUAUGUGUUACGUAUCGGAUUAAGCGUAUCAAAUCGAAUGAUAGAAAUCAAUAAUUUAGUUCAAACCAGCAUCAGACUGUAUAAAAAAAAAAAAGUAAUUUUUUUGAAAAAAAUUCUUCUUUUUUUUUCUGAAAAGGGAUCUCUGUUUUACUUUUUCACAAAAUGAGACUCCCUAAUUCAAAUAAUACUCAAAAUACUCACCGUCAUUGCUAAUGGUAUUUUUCUCAUCAAAUUUGUUUUGUCUAUUUUUUUAUUAGUUUCGAAUCAUUAUAGUGUUUUUAUUUGGCUCAUUUAUAAUAUUUUUCAAUAGCAUUACGGUAUUGUGAUGGUGGCAAUAAUUUUUACCCAUAUUUAGAUGAUGUUGUUAUUCAUAAAUUAUUAUUAUAGUACCUAUUUGAAUUCUAAUAUGAUAUAUUAAAUAAUUUUUAGUAUAUUUUGAUUUUAUUUGACUUGCUUAUAGUAUUUUUUUUACAACAUUAUAGGUUUUAUUAUGAUAUUAAGGAUAUUAUAAAGCUAUUGAAAAAUAUUGUAAGUAACUUCGUAUUAUGUCUCUUUGCUUAUCGUUGCUCAUAGAUUAUUACACUACCAAAUCAUGGAUGCUGAACACAUGCAUAUUUGGAGGUUUUCGAUACGCUGACGAACGAGAAAGAGCAAGGAAGAGGAGGAGGUGGUGGAGGCAACGGCGGCAGGAAAAGCAAGCAAGAGAAGCCAUUACGCUUGCAGAACUCGGUGAUCUGAGCUUGGAACGAGUGAAGGGAGUAGCUCUAAAUAGCUGUGCCUCUGCGCGUUCAAGUUUCAACGGGUGGUACAUCGCUUUCUCCCACUUGUCUUCCUCCUGUGGCCACUCGAGUCCUCUGUGGCGAUUACGUCAUGCGUCAUUGCGCAACAAAUAACGGGUUGGGUCAAGGAAGAGACCCUCGUGAUUCUUUAUGAGAUCCAAUCCACUCACGAGCAGAAAAGGAGGUGUGAUCACAUGCUGGAAGGCACUAAGAAUUAAGCCCGUAUAAUUGACUCCUGACUUGUUGUCAGACACUCUCGAGUCCCGUGGGAAGACCAUCCAAGAAGAGGCCUCAGCUUUGAAUUGGAAUCUUCUUUCUAACUUAGGCCGUGAAGCAAUGGCGACCAACCUUUGAGUUAUUCCAUAGACUAACAACUUUGUGGCUAUUUGUUUAGUAUUGGAUUAAUGGACUGAACUCAAUCGUUCCUCGCCCAAAAGAACCAUUGGCUAAUGUUACUUGAUAUGAAGGAUCCAAAGCAACCACCAAGAAAAGAAUGUCGAAAGAAGAACCACAAAGCAUUUGAGAACAAUCAUGAUCUCAAGGUGGCCUAUCACUUUCUUCUUCCUUCUUUCCUGCUAUUUCUUCUGAUAUAAUCAUGUGGAAAGACAUAAUAUAAUCCAUCUCUAAGCAGUGUGGCUCCCUGUGGAAAGACAUAAUCUAAUCCAUCUCUAAGCAGUGUGGCUCCCUGCGACAGGCUCUCUUACGUUCAUGCGUUUCUGGCUGACAUAAGUCUACGGAGACAUGAUGUUGCAGAGGUUGCAUAAUCCACCGCACCUCUCCAACAUUUCACAUGGCAAGCCCCGUUCCGUUUGUCAUGUCCUUGCUAAGCUUUUGGAAUGUUGCAGAAAACGAGCCAUGGGGUUCGUGCAAUGCUUCUCAAAUUGGAACAGUGGUGAGAAAUCUGCGGUGGCUCAGUCACUGUCGGUCGAUAGACCAUGAAAUGUUUGAAGGACUCGUAAUUCUUCCUGCAUGUGUUUAAUUUCUCCUCGGGAUAAGCCAAGCACUUGAAAAACCAUCUCCAAUGCAUAAGCUAGAUUAAGCAUCUCAUGUGGAGAUCAGGAUACCUGCAGUUUAAGGAGUGCUAAUAUCACAGACUAUACAAAUCACCCAGCUUGUGUACUAGACAUUGUCUUUCUUCUCCGAUGAGUGGUCAGACUUCCACUUCAAGUGUUGGAAGAUGUAGCCAGGGCACUUGCAAAUAACAAGUCGGGUGGUUCUUGAUGUGGAUGGUUGGAGAUGGCAUUCUCGAGGGUUGUCGAAGGAUGCAAUUUGCAUUUCGACAUGGAACAGUGAAGAUAAUGUGCUUCCUCUGGUUCAGUGGUGCCAGUGCCUCAGCUACUAGCUUUGUUGCUUGCUCAUGCCAAGAUAAGUGGGAGGAGUAGAAAAUUAGAACCAUUCAACAAAGGAGAUGAUUCUUGCAACACCACAUUUGAAGCAUGGUCAUCAUGCAUCAACCUGUGUAGUAGGUGGUGUUCUAACAUUUGCACCCCAAAAAGAAGGGUUUGACCAAUGUGCAUUGGCUGUUGCUUCAACCUCUGUUCAGAAGCAGAAAGUGUUGUGCUAGCCAUCAUUAUUAAAGAUUAUGGAUGGUAGCAUCAACCCUUUUUUGUCAGUUACAGAGAUGACUGAAUCACUAAUGCUCAGAGACUCCAGCAUGGCUGGCCAUAUGUCCAGCAAGAAAACUAUGGAGAUCAACCCAGAGAAUCCUAUCAUGGAGGAGUUGAGGAAGCGAGCAGAUGCUGACAAGAAUGACAAAUCAGUUAAGGACCUGACACUUCUGCUGUUUGAGACUGCUCUCCUCACCUCUGGUUUCUGCUUGAAUGACCCCAAUACUAUUGGCAACAGGAUCCACCGAAUGCUGAAAUUAGGUCUCAGCAUCGAUGAGGAUGAAAAGGUUGAAGACACUGACAUGCCUACGCUUGAGGAUGCUGCUGAUGCCGAAGAGAGUAAGAUGGAGGAAAUGGACUAAUCUGGAUCAAGUUGGCUUUCUGUAUUCUGCUGCUUCUCUUGCAAUUUUUUGGUGUGCUUUUCAUAUAUGCACUAACUAUGUAGACGGCCUUCAUCACCUUUUGCCAAAGAGAUCUUUAUAACUGUUGUCUAUGCAUGCAUGGAUAAUUCAUGUUCUAUGUUAACAAGUCUAUGGUUUGAAUGUCGAUUUAGCAUGGUUGACAUUUCAUUUUUAUAGUCCUGUCUUGUGGCAAGAAGCUGCAUGAAAACAGAAUCAUGUCUAAGUUUGUCUUGAUAGUAAAUGCCAUGUUCCAGAGUAAGAUUUUGCUUUCAUUAAUUCGAGUUCGAUCGAUCAUGGAGCAUUUGGUUAUCGGAGUUCUAGAUGUUUUGCUUUGAUCAUUAGCUACGCAAUGGAAGUCAUGUGUGAAUUGUGAUGAUAUAAAUAAGAAGCUGCUGAAGAAUGACUGCCAAAUUCAACUUUACGGACAAAAGAGACAGACAUACUGAUAAUAGAUUCGGAGGAACAGAAUCUAUACUAUGUGAACAUACUGACUCCGGGUGUCUUCAUUUUGUCACCCAUUGUUCUUAUUGAUGCAGAAAACAAAGAGCAGGUGGUUGCGUGGUGAAUCAAUCAGCUGCAAGCCUGCGGCACAAAUCCAAUCCUCUCGUUUCCUAGAUCAUAGACCACUUCAAACGUUUGCUGCUGCACGUUGCCGAUGAUACCGAACCUACCGCCCUUAUAUCCAGUAAAAGCCAAGCAGCCAUGCAUGAGGAUCCCAGAUAUGUCGAGAUCCAUUGUGACUCCAUCGAAGAGCAGCGCUACUUUCGGGACUGUUAUGGUCUCGUAGCCGCUGAAGUCAUAACAGGUAUCGAGUACUCGCGUAGGAGGCGCAGCGGGGUACUGGGACAUGUAGCACCGGAACGCAGACCUCAGUGCUCCGUAGGCCGACGCCGGGAGGCGAGUGAUGGUAGUGCCGGAGUCGAUGAUCGUGCCACGGGACGAGAAAACCGAUGGCGAAAUGUCCAGUUGCUGCCCACCGACACUGAUUCCGAUCAGGUCAAGGAAGUAAAAGCUUGGAUGAUUGGAGCUGGUCUGCAUUCGAGUGUAAACGGUGUUGGAGGCGUCACCAGGUUCGCCCAGUUUCAGGAACCCGGUGGAGCUGGGAGUCGAAGGAAGGCAGUAGGAGAAGACCGACUGGUAAACUUGCGACGUUUGAGACACCAGAGAGCGCUUGCCGCGGCCGAGGCCC